Molecule: ribosomal RNA, 465 nt
Filed under: uncultured bacterium
Lineage: Bacteria
Description: partial 16S ribosomal RNA
Rfam family: Bacterial small subunit ribosomal RNA
Source: RNAcentral
CCUACGGGAGGCAGCAGUAGGGAAUCUUCCACAAUGGGCGCAAGCCUGAUGGAGCAACACCGCGUGAGUGAAGAAGGGUUUCGGCUCGUAAAGCUCUGUUGUUGGAGAAGAACGUGCGUGAGAGUAACUGUUCACGCAGUGACGGUAUCCAACCACAAAGUCACGGCAAACUACGUGCCAGCAGCUGCGGUAAUGCGUAGGCGGCAAGGAUUAUCCGGAUUUAUUGGGCGGAAAGCGAGCGCAGGCGGUUGCUAAGCUUUAAUGUGAAAGCCUUCGGCUUAACCGAAGAAAUGCAUCGGAAACCGGGCGACUUGAGUGCAGAAGAGGACAGUGGAACUCCAUGUGUAGCGGUGGAAUGCGUAGAUAUAAGGAAGAACACCAGUGGCGAAGGCGGCUGUCUGGACUGCAACUGACGCUGAGGCACGAAAGCGUGGGUAGCGAACAGGAUUAGAUACCCGAGUAGUC